CCCCCCCCGCGCCCCAGUGAGGAAUAUUGGUCAAUGGGCGAGAGCCUGACCCAGCCAAGUCGCGUGAGGGAGUACUGCCCUCUGGGUUGUAAACUUCUUUUGUCGGGGCGCAAAAGCUGGACGUGUCCGGCUGUGAGAGUACCCGAAGAAAAAGCAUCGGCUAACUCCGUGCCAGCAGCCGCGGUAAUACGGAGGAUGCGAGCGUUAUUCGGAUUUAUUGGGUGUAAAGGGUGCGCAGGCGGAAUUUUAAGUCAGCGGUCAAAUCGUGGGGCUCAACCCCAUCCAGCCGUUGAAACUGGGGAUCUAGAGUGUGCGAGAGGUAUGCGGAAUGCGUGGUGUAGCGGGGAAAUGCAGAGAUAUCACGCAGAACCCCGAUUGCGAAGGCAGCAUACCGGUGCACAACUGACGCUCAGGCACGAAAGCGUGGGUAUCGAACAGGAUUAGAUACCCCAGUAGUC
This 458-nucleotide ribosomal RNA is filed under the name uncultured bacterium. RNAcentral's name for it is "partial 16S ribosomal RNA". It matches the Rfam family "Bacterial small subunit ribosomal RNA", at positions 330 to 795 of the family's 1533-position model. The record is from RNAcentral.